This 1054-nucleotide ribosomal RNA is filed under the name Companilactobacillus futsaii. RNAcentral describes it as "bacterial SSU rRNA". It matches the Rfam family "Bacterial small subunit ribosomal RNA", at positions 32 to 1053 of the family's 1533-position model. Lineage: Bacteria; Bacillati; Bacillota; Bacilli; Lactobacillales; Lactobacillaceae. The record is from RNAcentral.
GGCAAUGGCGGCUGCCUAAUACAUGCAGUCGAACGAACAAACUGUUGAUUAAAGCUUGCUUUAUGAUUCAGAUCUUGGUGAGUGGCGGACGGGUGAGUAACACGUGGGUAACCUGCCCAAAAGUGGGGGAUAACAUUUGGAAACAAGUGCUAAUACCGCAUAACAACUACUUUCACAUGAUCGUAGCUUGAAAGAUGGCUCUGCUAUCACUUUUGGAUGGACCCGCGGCGUAUUAGCUAGUUGGUGAGGUAAUAGCUCACCAAGGCAAUGAUACGUAGCCGACCUGAGAGGGUAAUCGGCCACAUUGGGACUGAGACACGGCCCAAACUCCUACGGGAGGCAGCAGUAGGGAAUCUUCCACAAUGGGCGAAAGCCUGAUGGAGCAAUGCCGCGUGAGUGAAGAAGGUUUUCGGAUCGUAAAACUCUGUUGUUGAAGAAGAACAUGCGUGAGAGUAACUGUUCACGUACUGACGGUAUUCAACCAGAAAGCCACGGCUAACUACGUGCCAGCAGCCGCGGUAAUACGUAGGUGGCAAGCGUUGUCCGGAUUUAUUGGGCGUAAAGAGAAUGUAGGCGGUCUAUUAAGUUUGAAGUGAAAGCCCUCGGCUCAACCGAGGAAGUGCUUCGAAAACUGGUAGACUUGAGUGCAGAAGAGGAAAGUGGAACUCCAUGUGUAGCGGUGGAAUGCGUAGAUAUAUGGAAGAACACCAGUGGCGAAGGCGGCUUUCUGGUCUGUAACUGACGCUGAGAUUCGAAAGCAUGGGUAGCAAACAGGAUUAGAUACCCUGGUAGUCCAUGCCGUAAACGAUGAGUGCUAAGUGUUGGAGGGUUUCCGCCCUUCAGUGCUGCAGCUAACGCAUUAAGCACUCCGCCUGGGGAGUACGACCGCAAGGUUGAAACUCAAAGGAAUUGACGGGGGCCCGCACAAGCGGUGGAGCAUGUGGUUUAAUUCCAAACAACCCCAAAAACCUUACCAGGUCUUUACAUACCAUGAAAAGCUUAAAAAUAAUUCUUUCCCCUUCGGGACUUGGAAACAAGGUGGGGCAUGGUUUUU